GACGAACGCUGGCGGCGUGCUUAACACAUGCAAGUCGAACGGAAAGGCCCUGCUUUUGUGGGGUGCUCGAGUGGCGAACGGGUGAGUAACACGUGAGUAACCUGCCCUUGACUUUGGGAUAACUUCAGGAAACUGGGGCUAAUACCGGAUAGGAGCUCCUGCUGCAUGGUGGGGGUUGGAAAGUUUCGGCGGUUGGGGAUGGACUCGCGGCUUAUCAGCUUGUUGGUGGGGUAGUGGCUUACCAAGGCUUUGACGGGUAGCCGGCCUGAGAGGGUGACCGGCGACAUUGGGACUGAGAUACGGACCAGAAUCCAACGGGAGGCAGUAGUGGGGAAUAUUGCACAAUGGGCGGAAGCCUGAUGCAGCAACGCCGCGUGCGGGAUGACGGCCUUCGGGUUGUAAACAGCUUUCGCCUGUGACGAAGCGUGAGUGACGGUAAUGGGUAAAGAAGCACCGGCUAACUACGUG
RNAcentral lists this ribosomal RNA (468 nucleotides) under uncultured bacterium. RNAcentral's name for it is "partial 16S ribosomal RNA". It matches the Rfam family "Bacterial small subunit ribosomal RNA", at positions 28 to 507 of the family's 1533-position model. The record is from RNAcentral.